This 75-nucleotide transfer RNA is filed under the name Marmota monax (woodchuck). RNAcentral describes it as "tRNA.Ser". It matches the Rfam family "tRNA". From Rfam's summary of the family: Transfer RNA (tRNA) molecules are approximately 80 nucleotides in length. Their secondary structure includes four short double-helical elements and three loops (D, anti-codon, and T loops). The record is from RNAcentral. Lineage: Eukaryota; Metazoa; Chordata; Mammalia; Rodentia; Sciuridae.
GCUGGUAUAUAGCUCAGUUGGUAGAGUGUUUGCCUCGAAUGUACAAGGCCCUGGGUUCAAUCCCCAGCACCACCA